AAAUUUCAUCAAAAUAAUAUUUUCGGCCAUCUUUGCGGAAUGAUAAAAUAAUUGGAUAUUUUUCUAUUUGUGUGGAAAAGAUUUAUAUUUUUAAAAGAUGUAUUGCUAAAUAUUAACAAGUAUUUAUACAUAAUAACUUGUGUCUUGUCCGAACGAUGUCCCUACAAAACCAAAGACAAAUCCUUCGUUCGCAAGUAAGUGAACCAACCCGGAUGGCCAAAUACCGUUGGACAGUGCCCAUGGCGUUGAGUGUAAAAACAGGGUGCCGUAUUGGAAGCUUCCGCCGGUCGGAUUUUACCAAGGUGUUUACCUAGCCGAAAGAGGAACUUCUGCUUCCAUCAUCCGUAAUCCAAGGAUGGUCACAAUUCUUGCACCAGUUCAAGCAAUACGUGUUCCAUUUGCCAAUGUUGUUCCGAGCAUCAGUGCGUGGAACAACUUCAACAACAACGUCAAUUGAACAGUGAAUACUAGGAUUCCCAGAACAUUCUGAACGUUUGUUUUUACUGAAAAUUCAGUUCCUGCACCAAUUAUCCAUCACUUUUAGAGAAGCAGCAGAAGGAACCCCCGAUGUCGCAUCCGCUCUAGCAGCUAAAUUUCCCGGACAACGUAGCCCACUCCCGUUAGGCAUCCUCCAGAAACAUCCGAGCCGGAAAACUACAUACCAAACUACACGAAAAGAAAAAUCCUUAUUGAAUGUAUAAGAAAAUGUUAUACAUUUUUGCCAUUUCGUUUUUCUAAUAAACCAUAUAGCUGAAUGUAAUGUAUAGCAAAAGAUACAAGAUAUGAGAUGUAUAAGUUUAACCUAAUACAAUCAAUCAGUAACGCUCAUGAUUGCUAUAACAGUUAUUAAUGCUAUGUAUGUGGAACAAUUAAUAAAACCUACUACCAUAUAUUUUGAAUUUCCUACUGUUUUUUCUUCAAGUAGACAUGAUUAAAAACAAGUUUUAUCAUAAAUACAUAUCUAGUUUAUUAACUAAUUUUAAUUUUUAAUAACUUUGCGUGUUGAAAGAUUGCAAUUUUCUAGGUGACCGGGACAUUUUCCUUGUUCAGCGGUCAGUCCUCCUAUGUGGGGUGGCGCAUUUGUUACUUCAAGCCGGUGUCGUAUCGCUUGAGAAGUUUGCCUUUGCAUCCGUUUUGCGUGCCAACAUCACCUCGGAACUGCAACUGAAAAUGAGAAAUUCAUCGUUAUUAUUUUGUUUCAUCAAAUAUCACAGAAAAUCUUACCCCCCUAAUCCGUCCUCAUCCUCCAUCCUUCGAAUCUCCCGUGCCGUAAAUUGCACUGGUUUGCGGUUAUCUCUGUCCUUCCUCUUCGACUUUGUUAUCUUCCGGGUCAUUCCUUCCUCUUCAAAGUCGCGGAGCACAUCGUGUUUCUGGCGACUAGCGAUCCUGAGCGGUUUCGGAAUUUCGAUGGCGAUUUUCCCGAGCUGCCGCUGCGGCUUCUGCUGCGUCUAGUUGAAUUAAAGGAACUUCUCGGAUGGCGGCAUCUCCUCGAACAAGACCUGGACCGCGAGUCGUGGCCUGCAAAGGACUUUCGGCAGCUGCCACUAUACGAUGCUACAAUAUGAGAGACGAACUUUGGUUUUUCUAAAGUAAAAUAAUCUUUAAAAUACUCACUCUUUUUGUUUGCUGUUCAGGCGAUUCCAUGGGCGAUUUUCGGCGGGAAAUAUUCAAUCUGAAAACUUAUUCAAAGUAUAAGUUAAACCUUAUACUUUUUGUUCAUUAUCCAAAACAUAUGAAAAGUAUAAGUUUGACUUAUAGCAAUAUUGUGGUAUCAUAAUAACUGAUAUUAGGUGGGUUUAUGACUGUUAUUAGGUUCAGUGUUUUAAAUUGUAAAAGGUAAUUGUAAUGAAUGAAAUAAUUAAAAUAUUUUUCGUGUACUCUGCGAGCGGGUGAUGGUGACCAAGAAAACUUCCCCAGCUCCGCCCCAAUGGUGAGCCCAACGGCCCCAACAUACUCCGGUAUGUUAUUAUUAAGGUGUUUAUUAUAUUUGUAAUAAGUUGUAUUUGAUUGAAAAAAAUAAUAAAUAUAAUGUUUUUUAUUUAUCUACUGUUUUUUUUUAACGUAAACAAAAAUGGAUGACUGCUGAACUACAUGCAUAGUAAUUAAAACCAUUUUCGAAAGUCAAUCUUACCAUGCCGCUUGUGACACACAUGGUAAAAUUGACUAUGGAAUCAUUUUUGAAAAUACCAUAAAAUGUAAACAAAAAGUGACAUGGUAAAUUAUACCCUGCUCAUGGUAGUUUCAAAAAUAAAUUAUGGUCUACCAAAAUCAAGUAGUAAAAGUGUCUUAAUUUCACCCUCGGAUUGGUCACCGUUACCAUGUCUCUUUUUUCAGUGUAGCAUCAAGACAUUGGUCGGACUGAUUUUCCUGAUAGCUUCAAGAAGUAGAACCCAUAAAUUGAUGUGGUCGAAAUUUCUUCCACCCCUUAACAACUCAUUCAGUGUAAGAAUAGGUUUGAACCUUUUAGUAAACUAUAUAAAGUAAUUCUAGGGAUAUCCACAGCUCCUAACCCCCUAUUCAUGUGAAAACUAGUGCAUUGAGAUGAAAAAAGUUGGAUAUAGUACAAUUUUCGAGAGCUUCAAAUAUAAGAAAAGUCGAGUCGAUUGAACAGAACAGGAAGGUAUUUAACUCGUAUUUUUUUUUACAUAACAUGUACAUACCUAUAUAAAACUAAACUUAACUAAACUGUAUAUAUAUCUAUCUAUCUAUCUAUCUAUCUAUCUAUCUAUCUAUCUAUCUAUCUAUCUAUCUAUCUAUCUAUCUAUCUAUCUAUAUAUAUAUACAGUAGGGUAGUUCAGACUAUAAACAUGAAUCCCAAAAUAGUUGUCACAAUGGCCAACUUUGGCACCUACUCACGAUUUCGAAAGCACAAAUCACUUCAUAAAACAAAACCAAUGCACCUGAGCUUCUUAUUUUAACCCUCUAAUACCCAACCCCGCCUUUAGACGGGGUAUAGUUUGAGCAUUUUUCUAAUUUUUGUUUCGUGCAAAAUCAAAAUUUUUAUAUUUUUGGCUGAUUCUUAGGACUGUUUUGUAUAUCUCAAAAUGGUUUUUGGUGUAUUUUAAAGCGUAUUCACAUUUUUUUUAUAAAUCAUUGAAAAAUUGAUGUUUUAAUCACCUUCUAGAAGUCAUUGUUUAUUUUGUAUUAAACCGCUACAAUUAGCAUAUUUAAGAUUUUUCCCAAAUCAUUCUAUCCUAGUUUUAUAGUUUAAGGGAAUCGAAUACACUCUUAAAUUAUUUUUCUUAAAAUUACACGGAAAAUUAAAUUUUCUAUGAUAUAAAAAUGCAGUGGCAUACGUGGGACCGCGCAUAACUUGCGAACGGAAGGUCCGAUUUUGGUCGUCUUAGUUUUGUUCUGUUAGUUUUCACCCAAGGAAGGUUUAUGAGGCAUAACACAUGAAAAAUUGAGAGUUUUUGAAAAUUGAACUUUCAUACAUUUUGACUGGGGACUUGGUCUUGGCUAGAAACUUGAAACGUCAAAAAACGCAGUAGGCAAGACAUAGUUUGCCGGGUACAGCUAGUUUUCUAUGAAAAAAAUUUAAAAUAAAAAUAUUUUAACAAUAAUCAUAAAAUCUCAAAAUGUUUUCAUCUAAAAAAAUCCGUACCCCAAAUAGGCUUCCAGGAAAAAUAUAAAAAUCUAAGAAUGUUCAAAAAUAAAAAUUAGAAAAAUCAAAAACUGAAAUUCACGAAAUCGAUAAAUAAACAGAAUCAUCUUCCAAAACAUGUUUAAAUCGAUUUUAGAUGACGAAAAAUGAUAUUUAGAUCAAAAUCAAAAAUUUGGGUAUUAGAGGGUUAAGCCAUAGACAAACAGACGUAACACCUUGAACGAUUUACAUGGAAAUCCAUCGCCCAGUUCACACUACCAUCACCUGGUGGAAAAGUUGCACGAAUCACUGUGUUGUGCAAUAUUGUCAACAGAAGGCACUAGUGUGAAACGUCAAACACAUAGAAAAACGAUACACGCGCCUCUGGUUGUGAAAGCCACAACUAUGAAAAUUUAAAAUGAUCGUUAAAAGCGUGGUCGAUGGAAUUUUCGCAAGUGUUAAGUCUGUUUGUCUGUGGUUAAGCUUAUUACAAGUGAGCAAAACAGAAUAAUAAAAUGCAUGAUUGUUUGAAGCUUGCUUCUUGAGAUUUGUGCUGAAGUUCUGAUGCAUUGUUGAAGCGGGAUUUCAAGACGUUUGUGCUUAAUGGUGGCCCAAAAGCAAAAUAGGUUUAUAUGGGAAUUACUAUGAAGAAUUUUCGAUAAACGUUCUGCGCGCUUUAAUGCACCUCAUGGAUGAACUCAUAGGGUCAAAGCCGAAUUGAAUUCUUCAGAUCUCAAUGAUGAAUGUUGUCGAAGAUCGGAACUUAUUUCGUCAAUCGGGUAAAAAGUUAUUAACCCUUCAGCGCGCGCGCUGUUGCAAAAAGUACAACACUACUAAAAAACCUCGCUUUUCGUAUACAGCGCGAGCGCGGUGCAGUUUUGGUUACUUGAAGGCGCGCGUCCUGGAAGGUUAAACAAAUUCUUACUCACAUGCGCAUCUUUAUACACGAUGUCCUGCAAGAUGUGCAAGAUGAUAACACGCAUACUAUGAUUGCGUGUCAAGCGUGUCGGUCGAGCUGCGGUCUUCUGUUCAAGCAUGCAUGGAUGAUUAUUGAUUAAUAACUUCUGUCUCGUGAGUCGAAACGAGUUGCGGUCUUCGGCAACAUUCAUCAUUGAGGUCAGAGAAUUCAAUUUGACUUCGACCCUAUGACUUCAUCCACGUGUUUAUGCUAUACAGAGCGGAGAACCUUUUUUUAAAUUCUCCAUAGUAAUUCCCAUAUACAGUCAGGUUUUUUUUACGCGGGGCAUACGUACCGCGUAAAAAAAACACAGUUCAAAAUUCAAAAAACCGCGUAAAAAAAGUCUCACCAUUUCUCGACGAAUCAUGCAAAAAUAAGACGAUGAACUUUUUUUUUGUAUGGAGUUUGCAUUUAUGCGGCCGCGUAAAUGAAAACCGCGUAAAAAAGACCUGACUGUAAACCUAUUUUGCCGAAAAUAUGAGAGGGCUCUAGUUUUGCAUCAAGGAUUGCAAUGAACAUAUGGGAGCUUUGAAUUUUUGACAUGUUAAAAGUCUGAACUGCCCUAAUAUACAUUCAUUGCAUAUUGUGGAUUUACCGGCUACUUGUAUUCUACCGGUUACUUAAGUAGCCGUUACAAAGUAGCCGUUUUCAUAUAAAAAUCAACUUGAUUGUCAAAAAAUGAAUGUCGCUGAGUAAAUAGCUAGUGGCAACGAGGAAUAGCGCAUUCAAUAAAAAUGUUUAAAAUCAUUUUUAAGUUACUCCUUUUAUAAGAGCAUCGCCACGGGCGUCCCUAUCUAGGUUCCUAUCCCUAUUUCCGGGCCCUGAAUAGGGUUAGACACCGGUGGUAUCUAAACAGGAACGAAAAAUAAGGAGGCGACAUGGGAUCAGCGAUGGGUUUCCACAUUUGGGGACCCACUCAAAUCUUGCACUGAGUUGCUAUUCCGAUGGUUUGUGUGACGUCACAUUCUUUAUUUACAUUUUGCGGUGAAGUGAGCUGAGCAGUAUUGUGGAAAUUAACAGCAGUGGAUAAAUAAAGCAAGAGGUGAAUAUUGAUGUAGGGUAACGAACCACUUGGGCAGCGGCCGGUAUUUUGGGCACUCUUCGCUAUAACUCAGUCAAUUCCAAACCAAUUGACUUGAAAUUUUGUACACGGCUAGAUAAUAUACGUAUCUCAUCGCGUUCCAAAAAUUGUGUCAAUUGCUUCAGAAUUGGCUGAGUUAUAGCAGAAAAGUGCCCAAAAUAGGACCCCUGCCGAGAUUUGUCCACUUCCCCUGCCGAGAUUUGUUCCACUUCCCUACUUUGUCUUACGUGACCAGAUGUUUUCCAGAACCCUAUCACAAACAAACAGACGCAGUACUAAUAAUUCUCAAGUAUACCGAUUCACGUUUAUUCAAAAAUUUUAUAGUUGGCUAACUGCCCAUCUGUAGCAUUCGCAGCGUUUUUGUUCAAGUUGUACAUUCGCUUACUAUUGUCACCUAGUUUAUUGUGGAUUUACCGGCUACUUGUAUUCUACCGAUUACUUAAGUAGCCGUUUUCAUAUAAAAAUCAACUUGAUUGUCAAAAAAUGAAUGUCGCUGCCACUAGCUAGUGGCAACGACGAAUAUCGCAUACAAUAAAAAUGUUUAAAACCAUUUUUAAGUUACUCUUUUUAUAAAACGGCUACUUUGGAGGCCAUACUGAAGCGCCCGGUAGAAUACAAGUAGCCGGUAUAUCCACAAUAUGAUUGGCCACUCUAUUGGCAAAAAUCAGUCCUUUUAGAUUGGGUGAAUAUGUUUCCACGACUAUGACUUUGAAUAGCAAACGUAUCACUUGAAAGAAAUUGCUAUUAAAAUCAUCGUCAUGUAAACAUAAUCCCCAAUGCCAAACACGCUAUUUCACAAAACGCUCAGUAAGUGACGGUAGUGAGCGAACGUCAAGCAGGAGCAAAAAUUAUGUGAGCGCCGUCUGUGAACAAUUUGCAAACUACAGAAUAUUUGGUUUAAAUUUUCUUUAAAACAUAAAACGAUAAGAGAUGACUAGAGGGAGACCGGAAACGUCUGCUUGUCUUUUUUUUCCUUCUAAACCAUAGGGGGAUAAUCUGCUCAACAGACACCCUAACAGAAGGUUAGGGUAGUGUAGUUCUGAGGCCGUCUUCUACAACAAAAGUAAAAGCCAGGACUACUCUCUCCUCGUACCCACUAAACCAUUCCUAUGGUCGCCAAACCCUACGUCUCUCCGGAACCACCAAGAAGGUAUUGCUUCAGAGAGGGGCUAUUGAUUUUGUUUAUUUGACUUCAUGAUUAAAUCCCACGAGUAGCACGGGAAAGAACGUCCACCACGCCAGAGCCCUGCAUUAACGCGGUAAGGGACAGCUUACGUGGGGGGUGCCCAGGUACCCCACAGGCUCCGUUAAAGAUCGAGCAUCUUUUUCACCCCCCCUUCCUCCGAUCUAGCCCUCGAUCACUCAUUCCUCAGCACGGGUCGCUUGACACCUUGAAUUGGGCUUAGUAGUCCUAUUCUUAGUCGUCGACUACGCAGCUGACUCGUAAGCGAGGGGGGGGGGGGGGUGGUGCGUCAGGCCCCAGGACUUUUGUCCCUGCUGCCCGUCUGCUUGUCUAUGACGAAAUGUUAUAUGUGUUACGUGUGCUUGUCUGUGACGCUUUAUGCCAUUUUAUGCAGGAUUCGUCAAAAGUUUGGAUAUAUUUAAUGUUUUAGUUUGUACUACGUCUGAUAAAAAAUAAGGACCACUUUUUGCAACGCACGGUGGAAAAUCAAUAUGUUUUUGAAGUCUCUAAACCCAAAAUAGAAACCACUGGUGGGAAGGUGAGGUGCUAUCCUAAAAUAGCACCCGAAAAGGAGUGGUAUAAUAGAGAUAGCGAUGAGGACUGCCGUGGCGAUGCUCUAAAAUGGCUACUUUGGAGGCCAUACUGAAGAGACCGGUAGAAUAUAAGUAGCCGGUAAAUCCACAAUAGAAAAACGAUAUAUAGUGCAAUUCCGAUUAUCGUGAAACUUGGUGGGUUUGUAGUUGUUCGAAAAUAAUUAGAACCGUAUUUUUUUUAUUUCGUCAUUAGGGUGAACAAUUUUCAGGUGGUCCUAAAAAUCAAGGUUUUAAAAAAUCAAAAAUAUUCAAAAAAACAUAACUUUUGAAUUAGUUAAUCGAUUUCAAACUUAUUUUUUAUUUUGUUUGAAAGCUAUUAAAUUCUAGUUUUUAGGAAAAAAUAAGCUGAAUGGGCCAAAUUGUGUUUUGUGCAAAAAAUGCAAAUAUAUUAGUUUUUCACGUUUUCAUGGUCUCGGAACCAAAGAGAUACCCUGGUUUUAUAUUUUCAUUUGAAAGUUCAGGAAACUUGGCGUAAAAUAUCAAAAAAAUCAGAGAUGUAUGUUUUUUAGUUUUUGAGAUGAUUUUUUUGAAUAUCGAGAGUCAUGUAUUUUAAAACUAACUGCUCUAAAAUUGCCCGAUAUUGUAAAUAUGAAUUAAACCAUGCCUUGUAUUGCUUUUUUGAGUGCUUCCUGGUCUUUUGGGUAUCCAUGUGUAUAAGGAUUCAUUAGAUAAUCAAAUUAAAAAAAAGUUUUUGUAUGGGAAAAUUUGGCCUUUUAUUUUCAAAAACCAUACCUCAAAAACUAAAAAAACAUACAUUUUUGAUUUUGUGAUAUGUUACGCCAAAUUUCCUGAACUUUCUGGAAAAAAACAGACUACCUCUUUGCUCCCAAGACCAAGAAGACGUGAAAAAAUAAUAUAUUUGCAUUUUUUUUUUACACAAAAACACAAUUUGGCCCAUUUUGCGUAUUUUUCCAGAAAACUAGAAUUCAAUAGCUUUCACAAACAAACAAAAAAGUAGUUUGAAAUCGGUUGACUGAUUCAAAAGUUAUGAUGUUUUGAAAAUUUUCAGUUUUUAAAAUGAUUUUGAGACCAUCUUAUCAAAAAAUUGGUCUCCCUAAUGACGAAAUAAAAAAAAUACGGAUCUAACUAUUUUCGAAGGACUACAAACCAACCAAGUUUCACGACAAUCGGAGUUGCACUAUAUCGUUUUUCUAUGGAAUGGCUGUAUAUAUAUUAGGUUGUCCCAAAAUUGCACAUGGUCAAAAAGCUUGGGGGCUCACCCUGCAAAUGAUAGCUAAGGGUGUUAGAAACAAACUUUUGUAUGACGGCAACUUUCAGAAAUGACGUUUAGAGGUCGCCCCGGUGAAAUUUUUGAAAAAUGGCCAUUUUUCGUAAUAAAUUUCAUAUAAAUAUUUUAUACCGUACAAAGAUUGGCAAUACCCACUAUUUAUGUUUUUUACAGCUUGAUAUGGAUCCAAACUACCUGGGAAAAAUAAAUAAUGACAUGUUUUGCUGGUAAUUUUUUGAUACUGGUUUUUUGAAUUUACUAAAAUUUGUCAUUUUUUGAUAUACUGUGCAUUUUACCCAUCAUAAAAAGUAUCUGAACAUUAUGCUAAUUUAAAACAAUGUCCAUAAAAAGAUAGCAAAUUUUAUGAGGAAAAACUUUGCCGAAGACAGCAUUGAGUUUUUUUUAUCCGUUUUAGAGUUAGGGUAAUUGAUCCGAUCAUGGAGGAGUUAAGCACUGGGUUCAUGCUCAAACCACAAUUGAAUCGCCCCAAGCAAAUUUUUUACUUGGAUUGAAUUGAAAAUAAUAGAAUCUAUCCUUUAUCUACGGGAAAAUAACGAAAUAUUGCCACUUUGAGGUUGUUAUGAGCAUUUUAUUCGUUUUUAUCUAAAAGAACUUUGUGUUCCUAUUGUUGCGGUAUUUGUUCCUAAUGUUGCGGUAUUUGUUCCUAAUGUUGCGGUAUCCCAUUGAAAUCAUAUGGAAUACCGCAUUAUUAGGAACACUACCGCAACAAUAGGAACACAGCAGCAAACAUAUUAAGGAAAAUAUUUUUUUUAAAUAGAUUUUUGGGCAAAUCUUAAGCAAACAAAUGGUGCAAUCUCAUAAUUUAAGCACAAUACAUCUAUUAAAAAUACCUUUUGGUAACAUUUCAGUCGAAAAAGUGCUCAAUUAGCCAUUACCGCAACAAUAGGUACUACCACAACGAUGGGAACAAUUACCCUAUUUAUGAUUUACUAUUUGGUAAAAUUUUGAUUUUUAGGUUUUAAAAAAAUAAUCCCAAAAGAACGUCCCAAAAACACACACAAAGUAAAAAAUCACGUUACUCAAGAAGUUUUUGUCUUCAUUGUGUUAUGGAAUUAUGGUGGCAUCAUUUAUUGCAUUUUUGUUUCCAUUGACAAAUCCAUUUUCUUUGAUAUAGAAAGGUACCUACUAGCGAGAAACUUUAUCAUUAGGUACCAUUUUGAGAUGCCUCAGUAGGCCAUGGCAUUUUUAACGUUUAUGUACUGACAUUGGUUUAUACGAGCAUAAUACACAAUCAAACGCACGGCACAUUUUCUAUAUCAUUUAGAAGGUGAUACAUUCCGCAAAACAUGCCGUUUUGGUUUUCAGUGAUGUUGUUUAAAUCGUUCAAAGACAUGAAUAAAACGUUCUAGUAGUUCUUUUCAUUUUGAUCAACAUAGAACGAUAAAAAUGACGUUAAUUGUUUUCGUCCAAAACUGCUGUUUACCAAUAAUAGCCUACCUUGUCUUAUUGUAUGCCGUGAAUGUGUUAUGGUAAACAAAUUGUUCUAACCUUGGAUAACAUUACGUUAACUCACUGGUUCAUCUUACACGCUAACCCUCAGUUACCCAGAUUGGUGUCAAAGCGACCCAGAUUGAGCAAAACUGCAGUUACUCUAAUCUGAGUAAAGGCACCUUUACUCUAAUCUGGGUUACCGAUGUUGGUUGCAAAAUCUGGGUAACCGGUACCCAGCUCCUCCUGGACCUUGAUUUUGUUAAUUUAUUUCCAAUUUAGAUUUUUAAUAAAAAGCUCCCAAUUCCCGUGUGCUGUUCACUUACCUGAUGCAGGAAAACAGUUCCCUGGAAGAAUUUAACUGUUUUCCCGUCAUUUAUCCUCAUAUUUUUCGAGGAAACACCCAUAAUUGCCAGCGUUCGCCUGACCGCUGCCAUAUUCUCAAGCCGGAAAGUGACAAAGUGCCGAUUACCCAGAUCUUUACCCAGAUUUAACCUAUCUGGGUUUUCGGGUUACCCGGAUUUUGACAACUGCUAACAACAUGAAAAUCCGGGUAGAAACGACCCAGGCGAUGGGUAGUUUCAGGUUAGCGUGUAUCCCACCCGUUGCCUCGGUGUAUCUUAUUUUCAGUGUUGAUAAAGAUAGUUCAAGUCAGUAAAUGUAAAAAAAAGACAUGCUCUGCUUUUUGUCUUGAAUUUGAACGAAAGUAUCUAAAAAUUGGUAUUGGUAUAAGAUGUUCGUAAUCGCGAUUUGAAUUUUGUAUGGAUCAACGUAUUCGCCUUUAUUCACUUUGCUAAUGUUUCCUGGGCUGUUUCACUGGUCCAGGACUCAAACGACUUCGUGUAGAAAAAUAAUUGAGAGUCGAUAUUCUCAAUUAUUUUUCUACACGAAGGAAAGUAAGAUAAAUGCGAAAAUAUGGCUCAACACUUUGUGGAGAAUAGCUUUAAAAAAUCAAUAGGCAGUACGAAGCUUGUCAAGAGAGCUAGCUUUUUAAGAAAUUUGCGAGUUAAUUUGUAUAUGAAGGGAUUCAAUAACAAAAAAAAACAAUUAAUGAUAUCACCAUAAUUCCAUAAAACAAUCAAGACAAAAACUUGUUGAGCAUACGUAAUUUUUUACUUUUCAUGUGUUUUAAGGAAGGGGCCCAUAUAGCCGAGGCGGUAAACGCACGGGUAUUCAGCAUGACCAUGCUGAGGGUGACGGGUUCGAUUCCCGGUCGGUCCAGGAUCUUUUCGUAAAGGAAAUUUCCUUGACUUCCUUGGGCAUAGAGUAUCUUCGUGCCUGCCAUACGAUAUACGCAUGCAAAAUGGUCAUUGGCAGAGGAAGCUCUCAGUUAAUAACUGUGGAAGUGCUCAUAGAACACUAAGCUGAGAAGCAGGCUUUGUCCCAGUGAGGACGUUACGCCAACAAGAAGAGAAGAGGAAGAGGUGUUUUAAGGAAAUUCUUAUGUGACAUUUUUAGAAAAAUACCCAAAAAUUCAAAUUUCACCAAAUAGUAAAUUGUGAAUAACUCUAAAACGGAUAAAAAAAAACCAAUGCUGUCUUCGGCAAAGUUCUUAAUUAAAAUUUUCUAUCUUUUGAUGGAAAUUGUUUUAAAUUAGCAUUCGAUUCAGAUACUUUUUAUGAUGGGUAAAAUGCGCAGUAUAUCAAAAAAUGACAAAUUUUAGUAAAUUCAAAAAACCAGUAUCAAAAAGUUACCAGCAAAACAUGUCGUUAAUUAUUUUUCCCAAGAAGUUUGGAUCCAUAUCAAGCUGUAAAAAAUAUAAAAAUAGUGGGUAAUGCCAAUUUUUGUACGGAAAAAAUAUUUGGAUGAAAUUUAUUACGUAAAAUGGCCAUUUUUCAAAAAUCUCGACGGGGCGACCUCUAAACGUCAUUUCUUAAAGUUGCCGUCAUACAAAACUUUGUUUCCAACACCCUUAGCUAUCAUUUGCAGGGUGAGCCCCCAAGCUUUUUGACCAUGUGCAAUUUUGGGACAACCUAAUAUAUAUGUAUUAUAUUAUAAUAAUAUAAUAAUUGAAUUCGACCUAAGUGAUGAUCCCCUUAUAUCUGAAUGUUCAUUAUAAAAUUAGUGCCUCUUCGGCUAUCGGAUAGAAAACUGUGCAAUAUAGAUUAGUUCAUACUCGA
Long non-coding RNA from Aedes albopictus (Asian tiger mosquito), 12195 nucleotides. RefSeq lists it as uncharacterized. The record is from RefSeq and is a predicted model, not a curated record. Lineage: Eukaryota; Metazoa; Arthropoda; Insecta; Diptera; Culicidae. The transcript has 2 exons.